AGCAGCCGCGGUAAUUCCAGCUCCAAUAGCGUAUAUUAAAGUUGUUGCAGUUAAAAGCUCGUAGUUGAACUUCGGGGUUCACCCAUUGGUCAGGCUUAAUUGUCUGUACUGGUGAGAUGAAUCUCUACCUUCUGAGGAACUUUCAUGCCAUUUAUUUGGUGUGAUGGGAAAUCAGGACUGUUACUUUGAAAAAUUGAGUGUUUAAAGCAGGCUAACGUCUGAAUACAUUAGCAUGGAAUAAUGAAAUAGGACGGAUUGAUUCUAUUUCGUUGGUUUCUAGGGUCACCGUAAUGAUUAAUAGGGAUAGUUGGGGGCAUUAGUAUUCAAUUGUCAGAGGUGAAAUUCUUGGAUUUAUUGAAGACUAACUACUGCGAAAGCAUUUGCCAAGGAUGUUUUCAUUAAUCAAGAACGAAAGUUAGGGAUCGAAGACGAUCAGAUACCGUCGUAGUCUUAACCAUAAACUAUGCCGACUAGGGAUCGGACGAAGUUAAUUAAUAAUGACGCGUUCGGCACC
This 514-nucleotide unclassified non-coding RNA is filed under the name uncultured Diversispora. Its description in RNAcentral is "SSU rRNA". It matches the Rfam family "Eukaryotic small subunit ribosomal RNA", at positions 569 to 1087 of the family's 1831-position model. Lineage: Eukaryota; Fungi; Glomeromycota; Glomeromycetes; Diversisporales; Diversisporaceae. The record is from RNAcentral.